Molecule: long non-coding RNA, 1818 nt
Organism: Bombus impatiens (common eastern bumble bee)
Lineage: Eukaryota; Metazoa; Arthropoda; Insecta; Hymenoptera; Apidae
Exons: 3
Source: RefSeq, a predicted model, not a curated record
GGUUGGAUAAACUGACACCCAAUCCUAUAUAUACUUUAAACAAACGAUGAGAAUCAGGAUUGAGUCAGGUGUCAAUUUAUCCGGUCGGCAAUCAAUAUCAACGCUUGAACUGUCACAGAUGCACAAUUGUAGGAAGCAAUCACUCCAGUCGUACCGAGAGCUUUUAACAAAUAUCUCUGAAACUAAUACUUUGCGAAAACAAGAAGUUAUUUAAAACCAUACUGCCGUCAACAUAGUAAACAAUCAUCGAAAUGCAAUGAAGGCCGCAGCAUCCUAAAUAAUUACCUGAAACAUUCUUCGCAAACGAUGUUAAUAAGAAACAUUUAUAAUAUACAACAGUACAAUUGUCUUAAUUCGAUGAAAAUUGAAAUUUAGGGUGCAAAGUAUGUGUAAAAAACAAAAUUGCAGAACUUUUAAUCGUUUCUACGAUGUUGAUAAUAUUAUGGGAAAAUGAAUAAUAAACAGAAAAUUUCAAUUUUAUAACUGGAUUAUAAUAACAUCGUAAUUUCCAAAACAAAGUAUAUCUAUAUCUAGUGGUUCGUAUAUUGAAAUAAGUAAAAUAUUAGACUAAUCCCUAAUUGAUAUUUUCCUCUAUAUCAUUUGUCUACAAAAUUAGCUGUAUCAGGUAAAAUUCUUAAAUCGAGAAUACGUUGAUUUAUAAGAAUCAAAUGGAGCAUUAUGUAUAUUAAUUUCGUACCUCAAAAUCGUGAAGUACAAAUUAUACGGAUUGUGAAGCUAAUUCGAUGAAUACCUUACCUUUUUAACUUAAUGAUUGCUUACUUUUUAUUUGCUACUUAAUUUUUUAAAAGUGCUCAUACCGUAAGUCACAGACACAUACACUCGCAGGCACGCACACACGAUAUUUUUAAAAUAUUUGUAAAUACAGUCAUAUUUCAUUAAGCGGAAAACCUCUAUAAGAGUAUAAAACUCGAUAAGGCAAAGCAUCCAUGAUUUAAAGAUUUUUCGGCCUUGAAAUUCGAGUCAACCAAGGGACAAUUGUACUAUAAUAUUGUAAAGAAUCUUGUUUUGUAAAGUGUACAAAUACACAUAUGUAUAAUGUAAGUACAUAAUCAGUAAUGCAUACAGUUAACAUAAUGCAUUUCAACUUAUAAAGCAGCAAAUUAAAAAGAAGUUAAUCGCGAUACAAGCACGUUGCAACUAACUUUACACAUCUGCAACUGAUCAUGCUUUUAAUUAAUAAUUAAUUAAUUAAUAAUUAAUUUCAAUCCUGUCAGUGACAAGAUUGAAAUGAUCUGUAAAUAAAAACGUAAUAGAAUGAACAUUUCCCCCAAUAAAUAAAUGAACAAUGUUGCAUAUGUACAAUGAACGACAAUAUUUAUUUGAUUUUAUAGCACUUUUUAUUCUAUUGAGGUAACAAUAACAUUACUGUAACGUUAUCAAUGUGAAAGUUUAGGAUUCAAUAAUAUAUUCCUUAAAAAUCUUUGUUCCCUGUUUAGAUGAUAGCAUAGAUGAACAGACGAUUCACUGACAUCUUCUCUGGAAUUUCAACAAUUUCUAGCUAUAGUACUGUAAUUAAUACUAAAACAAUGGCAGCAAAUAACUAUGCCUAUAAUAGCAAUAAAGUGAUUUAUACAUUUCCCCUGUAACUAUAUCUAUAUCUAUAUAUCCUUUAAUAAUCCAAUAUACCCUAAAAUUUGCAAACAAUUUAUACGCAUUCUCAAGAUUUGUAACAAUUUUGAGGAUACUAUAAAAGAAAGGAUGGUUAAUCAUCAUUUGCAUUAUUGUCACUGAAGACUGUAAUACUGCAAAGAAACCUGGAACAAAUUGUAUAAUAAUCGUAAUAAUUUCAAUUGAACA